CACAGCCCCGCGCCCCGGGCGCCUGCUACCACAGCGGCCGCCCGGGGAGGAAGAGGAGGAGGAGAAGGACGAGGGGGGAGGUGACAAACUCCGGCUCGGCGCGGCGGCAGGCAGCCCGCGGUCAGGCAUGCAGGCGCGGCGUCUAGCCAAGCGCUCCAGCCUGGGCAGCCGCCGGGGGAACGCUGCGCUGCAGCCGCCAGGCCCCGCGCCCGCCCGGGAAGGCGCGCUGCCCGGGCUCCCGCCCCCCGCCCCAGCCCCGGCCCCGGCCCCGGCCCGGGAGAGCUGGAGGCCGCCACUGCCGCCGCCGCGCAGCGCCGGGACCGGCCCCCCUCGGGCCAACGGGGCCGCCGCCGCCUCGUCUCCGGUGCUGCUGCUUCUAGGGGAGGAAGACGAGGACGAAGAGGGCGGGAGCAGGCGGCGGAGGGGGCUCGGGCGGGUGCAGGCGAAGCCCCGAGGGGGCGCGGAGGAGGAGGAUGACGACGAGGAGGACGAGGACGAGGAGGUGGUCGUCGAGGUUGUGGACGGCGACGACGACGACGAGGACGGCGAGGAGCGCUUCGUGGCCCUCGGCCCCGGCCGCCAGCUCCCCAAGGGCCCGGGCCGGGGAGCACUGAAGGUGGGCAGCAUUAAGCGGGAAAUGGCCUUCACAUUUCAACCAGAGGACUUAAAACGUGACUCUAGUAAAAAACUGUCUCAUCAACACUUGUUCCCCUUGGCCAUGGAGGAGGAUGUGAAAACAGCAGACACCAAAAAAGUCAACCGAGCCCUUGACCAUGAAAAAGAAAACACUCGCUCCAUCUGUCUCCUUGAACAAAAACGAAAAGUUGUUUCUUCCAAUAUUGAUGUUCCUCCAGCAAGGAAAUCUUCAGAGGAACUGGACAUGGACAAGGUGACAGCAGCGAUGGUACUAACCAGCUUGUCCACCAGCCCUUUGGUUCGGAGCCCUCCUGUACGGCAGAACGAGGGCCUGAGCGGAUCGUGGAAGGAGGGAGGCGGCGUGCCUUCCAGCACGAGCAGCAGCGGCUACUGGAGCUGGAGCGCCCCCAGCGACCAGUCCAACCCGUCCACGCCGUCGCCGCCGCUGUCCGCCGACAGCUUCAAGCCCUUCCGCAGCCCCGCGCCCCCGGACGAUGGCAUCGACGAGGCGGAGGCCAGCAACCUUCUCUUUGACGAGCCCAUUCCCAGGAAACGAAAGAACUCCAUGAAGGUGAUGUUCAAAUGCCUCUGGAAGAACUGUGGGAAGGUUCUGAGCACUGCAGUGGGUAUCCAGAAGCACAUCCGGACCAUUCAUCUCGGGCGUGUUGGGGAGUCUGACUACAGUGAUGGAGAAGAAGACUUUUACUACACUGAGAUCAAGCUCAACACAGACUCGGUGGCAGACGGACUGAGCAGCCUGGCCCCGGUUUCACCCUCCCAGUCCUUGGCUUCGCCUCCUACUUUCCCCAUCCCAGAUUCCAGCAGAACAGAAACUCCUUGUGCCAAAACUGAGACAAAAUUGAUGACACCCUUGAGCCGCUCUGCUCCCACCACCCUCUACCUCGUGCACACCGACCACGCUUACCAGGCCACGCCCCCUGUGAACAUUCCAGGAUCGGCCAAGUUCACCCCCAAUGGCAGCAGCUUCAGCAUUUCUUGGCAGUCUCCUCCAGUUACCUUCACAGGCAUUCCAGUGUCACCAACCCACAGUCACCCAGUGGGCACAGGAGAGCAGAGACAGCACACUCACACCGUCUUGUCCUCCCCACCCAGAGGGACAGUCAGCCUAAGGAAGCCCCGGGGAGAGGGCAAGAAGUGCCGGAAGGUGUACGGCAUGGAGAACCGUGACAUGUGGUGCACGGCCUGCCGCUGGAAGAAGGCCUGCCAGCGGUUCAUUGACUAAUGCCCAGGCCCCUCAUCGCCGCCCAGACGCUCCUGCCCUUGACUUGUGCUGAGGGUGUUGGAAAGCGCUUUUCCUUCGGAACAAAACACACGUGAAACCCAGGAAAAGCACUUCCGAGAACCUUGGUGAAAUCACAGCAAAAAACAAAAAAGAUCACCACCCUCACUGUUCUUGCUGAGAACCCAGCCGAGAGCAGCUGUAACUACUUUUUUCCUUAAAAAAAAUCAACUUUUUUUUUUUUUUUUGCUGUAUGUCUAGCUCUGAAAACUGUGGACUUCUGUAGCAAUCGAACCAACCAAGCCCAUUUUUCCCGGAAAGGAGGCCUAUUUUGAUAACCUUUCUGGAUAAUGCCGUUUCUGAGGUUUGUUUUUUGUGGGUCUUUUUGACACUUAAAAAAAAAAAGCUACAUGUUACUCAGUAGCAUUUGUACAAAGAGCGAUACCUGUUUUCAUUGUGAAUAGUCUUUUGCCUGUUCUCCAUCGGACUUCUGGGAGCAGUACACAUCCUGAUGUCUUGCCAGCAAACGGCAGCACUCUGGGUAUCUUUUCUAUGGUCUCUUUUGUUUGUUUGUUUUGUUUUAAAGAAUGCCCCCAAACUGAACCACGGUAGAUCUGUUAGCUUGAAGGGCCCAGGAGGGCAUAAGCUUGAAAAGAGAUUGACGAUGGAUAUCACCAGCAGACUUCAGCCCCAGCUGAGUUCAGGACAUCCCGCUGUCACGGCUGGGAAACGUCUGGAAGUCUUCCUCGGAAGCCUUCCCUGAGGGGUGGCCUGGCCCCCUCUCUCCCGGCCACAUGCACUCAAGACCUGGCACGCAUUGCCAUCUGGGUAAGCCUCAAAGCUUCCUUCAGGGAUGCAACGCCAACCAUGGCUCGGAUCUCUUCAGCACUGCUUAUCUGACAGUUGUUGCCAGUGAACAUGAUACCAUUUCAACACAAAUUGCCAUGAACUGGACAGUACCGACUUUUUGAGGCGGGGAGGAAUGCUCUAGGAAACAGAACGGUUUCUUUGUUUCUUAGACCUGCAUUCUAAGGCUGACAUCUGAACCACAGCACAGUCCCUGGUGGGUUUUCACAGACUCAUGUCAGGCUGUUUGUGAAUGUAAUUAUGAAUAUGACACCUUGGUGUUCCCUUUUAUAAUCAGCCGGUUGGAUGACUGGUUAUUAGCUGUACACAGAAUUCUAUAGGUGAGGGAUGUGAAAGAUGUGCAUUUUACUUGAACAGCAGGUUAAGGAGCAAACUUCCAUGGACUUUUGUGGACAAGGUGCUGCUUUUUCUCAUGACCCUGUAGAAUUUCUGUCAACCACAUCAACUGUAGCUCUGACCUGUAUGAACGCAGGGGAGAAUUUGUGCAUACAAAUGAGUGGAAACAGAGCACGAUUCAUGAAUAUGGAUGAGGAUGUGGAUCGUUUUGGAGAAAGCGCUGGGCACACGGGUCAACUGGAAAUUUCAUUUCUCUAGGAAAAUAACCCAACCAGCAGCAUACAAGCUUUCCCUGUUCCCCACACCUGUGGGAAUUCCUCCAGAGCGGAACUGUUUCCUUCUGUCUUUUUCAUUGUAACUAGUCAAACCCGGAAGUCAGUAAAUAAAACGAGCUUAGCACUUUUAGGUACCAAUUGUAUCACUAAGUAAUGCACACCACUAGAGCAAGAAAGUGUAAAAUGCAUUUAAAACCGACUGGUUUGCUUAUUGUGACUGACUUUGAAAAAGUCCAGAUCCAAUCAAUGAUAUACAUGCUUUAAAAGGUGUAUCUAUCAUAGGACCAGAAAUCAAAACGGGAAUUUUACUCUGGUCCUGUUCUGUAAAUAGUUCCUUUUUUUUUUUUAAGACAAUCUCAUGUUUUAUAACUUUUCUUGUGAGUCUGAGAAUCACGAUGGUAAUGUGUUGUGUCAAAAUGUAAUCUUAAAUACAGUAAUAAUUAUAACUUAAUUUUCCAAAUAAGACAAGAAAUAUACUGCGUAGGCUUCUACAAUUCUGAGAGAUGUGACACUUUUAUAAUAAGCAUUAGUACUUCUCAAGUUAACAGAACUGGAAAUAUUUUACAAGAUGCAGUGUUUUGUAAUCACAAAGAACAUGAACAUUUUGUGGGAAAUGACCUUGGUUUUGUACAUUGUAGCUUAUUUUUUAAAAUACAAUAUUUUACCAGACAGGAAGUGUUAAUAUUAUAAGCAAUUCCUGCUCUCCAAACAAAGGGCUAUGCCUCUUUUAAGCAAGCGUUCUGAUGCAUAUCUUUUCAAUUAACCCUCUGCAGCAAGGGUAGAAAUGCAGAUCAGAUUGAAGAUUAUUACAAGAGAAUCAAGAUGGCAACAGCUACUCCUUUGAUCUUUACCAGUGUGUUUUCAAAGUAUUUUGGGGGAAAAAAAAAAAAAAAAAAACUUUAAGAAUCAUCUUAUGUAUCUUAAAUCUUUAAAAUGUUAAUAGAUAUGCUUAUAGUCAAUGGGAGAAAUAUACUUGUAAAUUCUUUAGCGUAAAAUGAUAGAUUCCUGUCACAGGGACAAACUUAUUCCUCAACCUACCAGAACCACAAAGCUGCUUUUAACUAGCAAGUAUCAUUUGAUGGAAAUUUCUAAAAUCAUGGUGUGUAAGCCCAAAGAUAGAAUUCUUAGGUGAUCAGUGAUGUUUAAAAUAAUUUUGUCCUCAGCACUAACUAAAUAACUUUAAAUUCCUUACCAGAACAAGUGCUUGAUUUUUCACAUGAAGAAUUCACAGACAGGCGAGUCUGAGAUCAGAAAGUCACUGUAUUCCCAAGAGUCGGGAAACAAGGAAGGCAGCCAUGGAGAGUUGAUUAACCGUAGAAAUAAUUUUGAGCUUUGCCAAAACCAUUUCAUAAUGCUCUACAGUUUUUUCUAGCCCACUCGCUGUUAAAGCAAGAAAGCAUCUUUUCUUUCUAAGAUGUUGGUAAUUCAAAGGCUAGACUAAUUAGUCAAGUAUGCAGAUAACAUCAAAAGAAAAGCUGGGAUAGAAUGGUCGUACACCCGUUGGGCAACCCCUAUCAGGUGGUCAGAGGGUCGCUCUGACUUUGCUUUCUAACAGGCUUUAGAAUCUGCACACAUGAGGGCUAGAAAUGCAUGGAGUUAGGGGAAAAUGUGUACAGCCUCAUCUCUGAGAUGAAGCAGCCCAAAUCUCUAUCUUCAUUCUCUUGGAAUAUCUCUAAUGUUGGCAUUAAAAGUUCCCAAGAAGUGUUUAUUGCUGCAUGGUUUUGAACCAAAUGAGUCUUGCUUCCUAUUUCCAUAGAAGCCUCCUAAUCCUUUCUAAGCAGAUGCCUUGGAAAGAACAGGCAGAUUCUGUAAAUGAGUGAUUCAGAUCAGGCAGAAGAAGGACCCUAAAGAAUGACGGAGAUCAUGGUGAACCAGAGGACACCCCCCCCCCUUUAAAGGGGGAUCCCAGCUCUAGACAAUCAGAACCAUGCAGAAAUCAGGCCUGGGGCUGCUAGAUCUUCUGACUUGGAAAUAUAAUGUUACCUGACACUUAAGCUAAACUCAGAUUCUUGGCCAACCAUGUGCAGACCAAAGACACCAUGUAUGUGGGCAGAUGCAGCCUUUGGCCACCAGUUUCAACUGUUGGGAAAAGCAGAUUUCACCUUCCAGAGCCAUCAGGUCAAGUUCUUCCAUCAGCCCUACAAACUCACACAUUGGUACCAUCUGGGCAACUAAGAUCUAAGGAGGGAAAGAGGCCAGUUCUCCCCAGAAAUCAUUCUCAUGGAAGACUUGAAGAUAAAAAUACAAUAUCCUUAAACUAGCCUUGCCUCUGAUCAAAAUAUACUGAAGCGUUAUUCAGCUGUCACUCU
Non-coding RNA from Kogia breviceps (pygmy sperm whale), 5663 nucleotides. The record is from RefSeq and is a predicted model, not a curated record. Lineage: Eukaryota; Metazoa; Chordata; Mammalia; Artiodactyla; Physeteridae.